RNAcentral lists this transfer RNA (85 nucleotides) under bacterium. RNAcentral describes it as "tRNA-Ser". It matches the Rfam family "tRNA". From Rfam's summary of the family: Transfer RNA (tRNA) molecules are approximately 80 nucleotides in length. Their secondary structure includes four short double-helical elements and three loops (D, anti-codon, and T loops). RNAcentral also lists the same sequence under 2 other names. The record is from RNAcentral.
GGAGGGAUGACCGAGCGGCCUAAGGUGACAGUCUUGAAAACUGUUGGGCAUCCGUGCCUCGUGGGUUCGAAUCCCACUCCCUCCG